Esox lucius (northern pike) is the source of this 454-nucleotide long non-coding RNA. RefSeq lists it as uncharacterized. Lineage: Eukaryota; Metazoa; Chordata; Actinopteri; Esociformes; Esocidae. The record is from RefSeq and is a predicted model, not a curated record. The transcript has 3 exons.
AAGAAAACAGUGGUGGAUGAUCGUAGGAUCCUUUCCAUGGAAAUGUUUAGGGGGGGGCUGAGGGGGUGCCCGAGGCUGAGACAACACCCCCUCUAAGUCUGGUGCCAGCUCCAAGGUGCCGGCUGUUCCUGGCGGCUGCCCUGGUUGCUGCCCAGAAGCCGCAGCCAGCGCCCCCUGCUGCCCAGGAGCCGCAGCCAGCGCCCCCUGCCGCCCAGGACCCGCAGCCGCCAGUGGCCACAGCCGUCGCCACCUCCCACAUUGCCCUCUCCUGACCAUCCGCCGGCUCCUGACCCUCCACCGGCUGUCCCUGCUCCUGACCCUCCUCUGCCUGCUCCGGCUCCUGGUUCUCCGCCGGUCCCUGACGCCUCAUCAUCUGCGCCUGCCUCCAUCUCCCUCCUUGGAACGUGACAAGAAGAAACCCUUCACAACAUCCAGCCAAGUGAAGAACACUCUC